ACUUGACGUGAAACAGCAGAGAAGCAGAAGGAGCUUGAGGGACACCUCUCCGGAGAGCCGAGGGUCAUGAAGUUGUCGGAGGCUAGCGUAGGCGAACCUCUACCGGUGUGAUCACCCUGCGAGGAAGAUCAUGCUAGAGUUCUGGAGCUAGAAGUCAUCAAGAUCAAGGUAGGAUCCUGGUGGUGAUCUUGUGAUGUACAAUCAUUCAUGGUGAAGUAAUAGAUGUAAUCCUGUUCUUAGCGAUCUAAGUAUCUCCUUUGAUGGUUUUAUACUUUAUCGGGUUUGCUUGUUUUCAAUCUAUG
This 302-nucleotide long non-coding RNA is filed under the name Setaria italica (foxtail millet). RNAcentral's name for it is "long non-coding RNA (SITA_LNC001347)". The record is from RNAcentral. Lineage: Eukaryota; Viridiplantae; Streptophyta; Magnoliopsida; Poales; Poaceae.